CCAUGCCGCGUGGGUGAUGAAGGCCUAGGUUGUAAAGCCUUCGCGGGAAGAUAAUGACGGUACCCGCAGAAGAAGCCCCGGCUAACUUCGUGC
RNAcentral lists this ribosomal RNA (93 nucleotides) under uncultured bacterium. Its description in RNAcentral is "partial 16S ribosomal RNA". The record is from RNAcentral.